AGCAUUGCCUCGGUGACAAUAUCCCUUUGGUGGGAGUCUUUUGCACAGCACGUUUUGUAGCACUCGUUUAUCUCUAAUUUAUCUGCAAAUGGGUCUUCCAGAAACAGUUUAGGCCAUAAUUAUCUUCACGUUGGUUUCUUGUUAUUGGCAGGAUGGGGGGAAAUUACAUACCAAGAACUGUAUCCGUGGAAAAUCUCUCUCGUUACCGGUGUUGCUAACCCUGUUUUCUUAAUGUGCCAUUCCAAUAUUUUUCCCUUUUGUAUAUCCUUGCCGCUUAUAUUUCUCUAUCUUUGGUUAGGUUGCAGCUGUAGACAGUAGAUCAGAAUCUGUGGUAGUCACCAAGAUGACUUGUUUCAAGAUUGUUCCGAAGCUGUUGAAAAUCGACAAGAUGUAGCUGCAAGUUGCAAGAAACACAACUAAGAUGUUGUUGCUAUGGGAUCCAAUGAUCACUUGAUUGAUAUUUUCAUGGCCAUGGCAAUUGGAUUCUCAUUGGUCGCUUUCAAUCUUUCAUCAAAUUCUAGAGCGAGCUCUCAACUGAUGAUGAAUUCGAGAAUUCCAACAGGAAUUGACACAGACACGCAUAUCUCGGUUCCCACCACAAGUCCUUUUCCUUUUUUCCUCUGGCCAAUUACCCCAAAGUCCAUUGAAAACCCCUUUCUGUUUUUUAUUUAGCUCGUGGAACAUGACACUUUGGAAGAAAACUUCUCCUUGCAAUGAAAGAUGGAAAAGCAAGGACGCUCCAAACACUGACGGAUGGAUUAUGGCCAUGAGUUGUUCUUUCAAGAUUUUUAGCGAUUUGUCUGCAUUUUUUUCUUUUUGGAAAUUAUUCUAAGGACACACUGCUGGCAAGAAUUCUUAUGAGAGCGCGACUUCCAUCACAUUUGAA
Theobroma umbraticum is the source of this 886-nucleotide long non-coding RNA. RefSeq lists it as uncharacterized. Lineage: Eukaryota; Viridiplantae; Streptophyta; Magnoliopsida; Malvales; Malvaceae. The record is from RefSeq and is a predicted model, not a curated record.